GAGUGCAGACAGGCAGAGGGGGCGUUGAGAGGCCGCUAGAGAGCAGCCAGUGUCUGCUGCUCACUCAGAGCUGUGUGUGUUUCUGGCUGGCUGAGAGGAAACUGAUCGUGGCACACAGAGAGAGCAGAGAUGUAGAGAGAGUAGCUCUCUGGGACUCCUCCGUUGUGGCACAGCCGUCUGUCACUUUUUACCAGAGGAUCAUUUUAUCCGACAUUUACCUGCGGAAUAUGGGAAGGACCGGCUUUCUUUCUUCGCACAGCUCCACACUGCACGGACGUGUCGCGUAAUGCGGCCGAGAAGAGCUGCCUUUCUGGGGGGAGAUCUUUAUGUUUUCGGGACGGUUUUGUUGGGAGUAAUUGGCUAGUUGCUAGCUGCUGGGCUAGUGCUGGCUAUUUUGUUAAGGAUGCUACGGUGGAUACGACAACAGCUGGGCUUUGACCCCCCUCAUCAGAGUGACACCAGGACGGUUUAUGUAGCAAACCGUUUCCCCGAGCAUGGUCACUACGUACCGCAACGCUUUGCUGACAACAGAAUCAUCUCCUCCAAGUACACAGUUUGGAAUUUUGUCCCCAAGAAUCUGUUUGAGCAGUUCAGAAGGAUAGCCAACUUCUAUUUUCUCAUUAUCUUCCUUGUACAGUUAAUGAUAGACACCCCAACUUCCCCAGUCACCAGCGGCCUGCCUCUUUUCUUUGUGAUCACAGUAACUGCCAUAAAACAGGGCUACGAGGACUGGCUGAGACACAAGGCAGACAACGAGGUGAAUGGAGCUCCAGUGUUUGUGGUUCGCAGUGGGAGUCUGGUCCAGACGAAAUCCAAGAACAUCAGGGUGGGGGACAUUGUUCGUGUGGCUAAAGAUGAGACGUUCCCAGCUGACCUGGCGUUGCUGUCGUCAGAUCGUGCAGAUGGCACCUGUCACAUCACCACAGCCAGCCUGGAUGGAGAGACCAACCUUAAGACUCACUUCUCUGUGGCGGAGACAGCAGUGUGUCAGUCGGUGUCCCAGCUGGAGGCUCUGCAGGCUGUGGUGGAGUGUCAACAACCGGAAGCUGACCUGUACAGGUUUGUCGGUCGCAUUACGGUGACUCAGCACGAAGAGGAGAUAGUCAGACCGCUGGGUCCAGAGAGUUUGCUGCUGCGAGGAGCCAGGUUGAAAAAUACCAAAGAGAUUUUUGGUGUGGCAGUUUACACAGGGAUGGAGUCCAAGAUGGCCCUCAACUAUAAGUGCAAGUCCCAGAAACGCUCUGCAGUAGAGAAGUCCAUGAAUACCUUCCUACUCAUCUACCUGGGCAUCUUGCUGUUUGAGGCCGUCCUCAGCACCAUCUUGAAGUAUGCCUGGCAGGCUGAAAACAAAUGGGACGAGCCUUUCUACAACCAAAAGACUGAACAGGAGAGAAACAGCAGUCCGAUCUUGAAGUUCAUCUCAGACUUCUUGGCAUUUCUGGUCCUCUAUAACUUCAUCAUCCCCAUCUCGCUCUACGUUACUGUGGAGAUGCAGAAGUUCCUGGGCUCUUUUUUCAUUGGCUGGGAUUUAGACCUCUACCACGAGGAGAGCGACCAGAAAGCUCAGGUCAACACCUCUGACCUCAAUGAGGAGCUGGGACAGGUGGAGUAUGUGUUUACAGAUAAGACGGGCACGCUAACGGAAAACGAGAUGGAGUUCCGUGAGUGUUCAAUUAAUGGAACCAAGUACCGGGAAGUUAACGGCAAACUGGUACCAGAGGGAAUGACUGACGAUUCACCAGAUGGUUCUACGCCUCAACUGACUGGUGAGGAAUUGUUAUUUCUCAAGGCGGUGUCGUUGUGUCACACGGUUCAGAUCAGCUACGACCAGCCAGACUGCCUGGUUGGGGGAGGAGACCCGUUCUCCCAUGUAAACGGUUUCUCUUCCAAUGGAAUGGAAUACUACGCCUCUUCACCGGACGAGAAAGCUUUAGUAGAGGCAACAAAAAGGAUCGGAGUGGCCUUCACUCGCUGCCACGAAGAUACCAUGGUGAUCAAAACAUUUGGCAAGUCAGAGAAAUACAAACUGCUCCAUGUGUUAGAGUUUGAUGCCAACCGCAGGAGGAUGAGCGUCAUAUUGCAGACUCCUUCAGGAGGCCAAGUGCUGUUCACCAAGGGUGCAGAGUCUGCCAUUUUGCCUUUCACUACCAGUGGCGAGAUAGAAAAGACGAGACUGCACGUUGACGAGUUUGCCUUGAAAGGAUUGCGGACCUUGGUUGUAGCGUGUCGCCACUUCAGCCCAGAGGAAUACAUUGAGGUGGACAGGCAUCUGAACGCCGCCCGCACCGCGCUGCAGCAGAGGGAGGAGAGACUGCAGGAGGCCUUCAGUUUCAUCGAGAGAGAACUGAAUGUGCUGGGAGCAACGGGGGUUGAGGACAAACUCCAAGACAAAGUCCAGGAGACCAUUGAGGCUCUGCGGCUGGCAGGGAUCAAAGUAUGGGUGCUGACGGGGGAUAAACACGAGACGGCGGUCAGCGUCAGCCUGUCCUGUGGCCACUUCCACAGAACCAUGAACAUCCUGGAGCUUCUGCAACAACGAUCUGAUAACGAGUGUGCUGAGCAGCUCCGCAGGCUGGACAGGAGGAUAAAGGAGGACCACGUCAUACAGCACGGGUUAGUCGUGGACGGGGCCAGUCUGUCGUUAGCGUUGAGGGAACACGAGAAGCUCUUUAUGGAAGUGUGUAAAAACUGUUCAGCUGUGCUGUGCUGCCGCAUGGCCCCGCUGCAGAAAGCUAAGGUGGUGCGCCUUUUAAAAACCUCCCCAGAGAAACCCAUCACUCUAGCUAUUGGGGAUGGAGCCAAUGAUGUCAGUAUGAUACAGGAAGCUCAUGUGGGCAUAGGUAUCAUGGGGAAAGAGGGUCGUCAGGCCGUGAGAAACAGUGACUAUGCAAUUGCCAGGUUUAAGUUCCUGGCUAAACUUCUGCUGGUCCACGGUCACUUCUACUACAUUCGAAUAGCUACCCUUGUACAGUACUUUUUCUACAAGAAUGUGUGUUUUAUCACGCCCCAGUUUUUAUACCAGUUCUUCUGUCUGUUUUCACAACAAACUCUGUAUGACAGUGUUUAUCUGACACUGUACAACAUCUGCUUCACCUCGCUGCCCAUCCUGGUGUACAGUCUGUUUGAACAGCUGGUCCAUCCACACGUACUGCAGAAUAAACCCGGCCUGUACAGGGACAUCAGUAAGAACUCUCUGCUGUCUUUCCGGACGUUCCUGUACUGGACUCUGUUGGGCUUCUGUCACGCCUUCGUCUUCUUCUUUGGAUCCUACAUACUGAUGGGAGAGGACACCACACUUAUGGGGAAUGGACAGAUCUUGCGAGCUAACAGGCAGCUGAUGUUUGGGAACUGGACAUUUGGAACGCUGGUCUUUACUGUCAUGGUCAUCACAGUUACAUUAAAGCUCGCUUUAGAGACUCAUUUCUGGACGUGGAUGAACCAUUUUGUGACGUGGGGUUCGAUUGCCUUCUACUUCAUCUUCUCUCUCUUCUAUGGAGGCAUUAUCUGGCCGUUCCUCCACACCCAGGACAUGUACUUUGUAUUCGUACAGCUGCUGUCCAGCGGUUCAGCCUGGUUUGCCAUCAUCAUCAUUGUCAUAACUUGCCUCUUUCCUGAUGUGGUGAAGAAGGUCUUCUAUCGACAUCUGCAGCCCACCAGCACACAGAAGAGUCAGAUGUAUACCAACCGUGUGGCGAUAGGUGAUGACUUCAUCGCUCUGCAGCCUCUGUCCAGAGCCAAGAGCCAGCUGGGCAAAAUUAGUCUGUAUCAGCCCCCGAGAGCCUCAGCUGUGUGGAGUCCCUGUGCUGCUACCAACAAGGGCAGAGCGGCUGUUCCCGCCUGGCCCGCCUCCUGGAGCAAAUAACCGGGCGAUGCCAGGCCAGCGCCAACCAUUGCCACGCAUCGAGCUGCAGCAACAGCCUGGUUGGGUAGCUUGUAAUCACAAACCUCCGGACAACAGUGUGGUAGCUCCCACCGUUCCCCACCCCCCACCACCACACCCACACCCAAACACACACACACACACACACACCAUCAGUCUCCUAACCCUCAGUCACCUAACCCUCAGUCACUGCUGCCUGUUUUCAGGUCUUGGAGCGACACGGAGAACUUCUACUCCAACGAUCGCAGCAUCCUGACGCUGUCGCCUAUCGAGGCCACCCACUGCUGAUUCCCAGGGCCGCUGACUGUAACACACAGAGCUCGGGGAGAGCUUCUACUCCGCAUAAUCACCCCCCCCACCCAGCCUCCCACCCACCCACCAUUUAUAAAACCUACUUCAAUUUAAGCUCAAUGCUUUCUCAGCUCGAUGCAACACAGAUGUGAAACCAAAGGACUCGGCUCGGUGCAGUAGGCUGCUUUAUCCUUCACCGCUUUGUUUUCCCAGAGUGAAUCAAUUCUUGAUAGAAAGGUUGAGAAGGACGUCAGAUGGGAGCUGCAACAUGGAAGGAAAUAAAACAUGAAGUGUGAAGCAACUCAGCAUGGCAUGAAGCACACAUCUGUGGAGCUACUUCUGUAGGAAGAUCCAGUCAGCAUCUGAACAACAACACUUAUCAGAUUGCUGCUGCGUAUAGGGUGUCUGCAAGUCCUGCAAACAUCAUAUUUAAAUUCAGGACCUUUUUGUAAAAGUUUAAGACGUGUCGGCUCACAGGUGCUGCCCUCUGAGAUCAGCCCGGGUACAUGGACUCUCAUGCAGCUAUUUAUUUUUUCAUUUCCAGCACAGUUGCCAAACUUAGUUUGUCUUGCAACUAAUAUUAAAAAUAACCUUUUAAGUCUUACAUAUACACAGAAUGAAGAUUCCUGACGAUCUGGAUUUUUUGCUAGCUGAUGUCAGGCAGCAGUCCUGCUCGAAGCAUUGUAGCCUAAGGACUGUAACCUAACCGAGACGGUUUGGGCACGCUGAUUAACCUCAACACAGGACUGAGGAGGCUUAUAGACACCAGCCACCAGGAUCGUCCAUGUAGCACCGCAAACUCAGACUACAUGAGUACAUCUCAGAGGUGCCGGCUAGCAGCCCGACAUCAUGUUGCUUCCAUAAACUGCUGCAUAAACUUCCUCUUUGAGCUGCCGGCCCCGCUGCACCUUUGUUUCUCAUUCAGACGGAAAGGGAAAAAGCUAGACUCCCUGUAGCUUUCAGAGCCUUACUGGUUCUGUUAACGUCUAGACUUAUUUCCUUAGGACCUACAGUACUCCUUCGAUACUGUACGAGGAGAUUCAUCUCUACCCUGUAACCAAAGACCAAAGGAUUCAGACUGGAGUUUAAAGGAAAAACUGUUUAUUUUUGUGCCUCAUUGUACAGAAGCUUAUAUCGUUGUUAAGAAGACUAUUAUUAUUGUCCGUGCUGCUUUCUCGCCUGACUGUUAAGGCCUCUGUCUCCCUGGUGCGUGGCUCUGAAGGAGGCCGGACGGUGUCUGUUUAAAAAGCCAUACAUUUUCAAGAGGUUAUAUUAUUGAUGGAUUAUUGAAGGUACUGCAGAUGGAAGCUGUUUGAGCCUGUUGAAGUUACUUUGUGUUUGGAAACUUGUUCCCCUUGAAUGCCUUUUCUCAUUCAGCCGGGUUAGCGGAGGCAUCUCAGCAUUAGAGGGCGUGAUGCUCAGGGAAUAUUUUAAGGUAACAGGAUCAGUGUUGAAGGCUGACUUAAUGAGGUUUUAUAGGUAGAACCAUCCCUCUCAGCUGCCUAAAAAUAUUACCCGAGUAUCAGAUCAGAUAAUGGCACCAUUUUUUUAUUUCAGCGAGACAAAAAUGGCUCUAAUGGCGAGAUGCUUUCCCAAAUCACGGCUGAUGCAUGUCGACCCAGACAGCAGAAUGUCUCUAUCUUUAGAGAGAUAGCUAUAUCGGAUAAAAUAUAAUUCAGCUUCUGCAGAGGUGAAAAGAAAAGCAGAGCGUUUGCACAAGUCACAUAUCAAAAAUCACAAUUUUGUUGUUUCUCACUUCAUUGCUCGUCUGUCAUCAUUGAAAUCACCUGAAUCAUGUUUUUGCUGUUAAGUUGUUCUAUCCACCUGUUGAUGAAGUGUUUGUGUGUGCGUGUGUGUUUCUAUGGCAGCCAUGGUGGUUGAAGGAAGUACGGUACGUAGCCCUGGUGUAAGCUCUUUGUACGAUCUCAUUGGCCGCAUGCUGUCCGCAGGUCAAAGGUCAAAUGUUUCUCUUUGAUGCUCGGUUUGACCUCUCUUCUUCUCCCAAAAAAGUGAAAUGAGUAAAAGGUUCUUAUUUGUAGGAGAGUUCAGUUGACUCCAGAAGUGUAAUGUAGAAGCGUUUCAAGACAACCGUUUUAAACUUGACAUCAACAAUAACCACACAACAAUGACCAGUACACGCCUCGGCUCACACAGGUGGACAUACAGAGUCAUGGGAUGUUUCUGUCGCUACGGUUACCGUUUGAAGAAAUCAGAAAGUCAAUAAUGUUUUUGUCAAUCGAUUCAUUGAAUAUUCUUGAUGUUUAUUUUCUAUAUGGUACACAUUGUUUGAUGCACACCUGGGCCUGUUAUAUCCUUUCUGUUCACACAGGUGCAACUGACAAUGAAAGUGUCUAUUUAUUAUUGCGGUACUUUUUUUUUUUUUCCUGUGUUUGUGUUCUUACAUAUCAAUAUAACGUGUGUCCUGUGCUGUACAUGACUUGAAUGCAGCAACUUUCCACAAUGUUUUACUGGAUCUUAGACAAGAAGUCAGGAGGUUGAACCUCUAUCCACGCUCUUUAUAAUGUUUGACCUGAAAGGUGACAGUGCAGCUGUCAGCCUGAAAUAAACAGGAUGUUAGUAUGUUACAGGAUAUUUAAACGAGCAAAGGGACACUUCCAGUUACAUCACUCCAAUUUACGACCCAACAGAUAAUAAUCAGGCCACAUUUACAAAGGAUUUUUUUUUUCUUUUUAAACAUUUGAGUUCAUAUCUGCUUGAAAUGUCUACCUGGAUACACCUAUGAUAUCUAAUCUGCACCUGGGGUUAAGAAAAAUAUAUGUUAAUGCUGUUUAAAAAGGGCACUUCACCAGUUUUACACAUGAAGGUCAGUUUAAUCAUCAUGGAGAGCGCUACUCAGCCUGUGAAAAUAGUUUUCUAAUGUCCUCUGUGGCUCUGAAGGGAGCUUUCUGAAGUCUGAGAAAUCAGACAAAAGAGUUCUUGAGACUUCAAAAAUGUGACAGAAAAAACCUUAAAAUCGGGUUAUAUUGGCUUCUGCUGCAUUUAUUUUGACCAUUUGUGUAUAUAAGUGCAGUGCUAAAUCCAGGAGUAUCCGUUAAAGGGUCAAAUUUGAUGCAGUAGAGACAGAGAUAUCCUGACUUAGACAAAAAACAAAAGUUGGACAACCCUCCUCUGUGGAAUCAGCAAUAAACUCCAGAGGAGGGAAGACGAGUCCUUCCUGGCCAAAGGCCGAAACACCUGAAGUGUUAGUGCAGUUCUGAUGCCCCCUUGUGCUCAUCUACGGAGACCCAAAGUGUACAAAAUUCAAUUAUUAUUACAGCUAUAAUAAUAAUAAAAUACAAACAAAUAAGCAAUUGCUGUUUUCCAAGAUAAGCAACAGUCAUCUUAAUUGAUGGAGAGAGUUGGUGAUACUUUUUUAUGAAAUAAAAAUGACCUGUAAUAAAACUCUUAUUUUGAAAAGAAACAGGGUGAAGUAUCAUUUAAUAGUAAUGAGCUGAGUUUUAAAAAUCUGUAGAAUUAUUUCACUUUUAUUUGUUACAUAUUUUGUGUAUCCAGGUACAGAUUUUUCUUUUCUUUUCUUUUUUUUUUACAUAUGAAAUGUAAUUGGGUUCCAAGUUGCACUCAAGAGAUAUCUUUGCUACGGUCUAUGCAGGAAACAGAUGCUAUAUUUUUUUAAGAUCAGAUGUGACAUUAGUAACGAGACCUGAUUCUGUAAAGCAUCAAAGCACUGACGUCAUCUAAGCUUCAUUACAAGAGAGCAGCAGGGUUUGGAUACGAGGCAUCUGGGGUAUUUCUAGAAGCAGAUUACUGAGCCACAUAAUUCAAAGAAUUGUCAUUUAAUAUUUUAUUAAGCCUCGACUACAAAUGAUGAUCAUGACAUCCAUCAGAAGCACCAUCCAAGUUUAAUUGGAUGCCUCAUUUAGAGCUGUUACAUGCAGUCUACGGAUGUAGUUUAAACCAAGUAUUCCUGCUUCUGGAAAUAUCUGCCAUAUAUUGAAUGUGUGUAGACCAAAUGAAAAUGGAAAUAUGUCUUUGUUCAGUUUUUUUACAUACAAGUAACAUAAUUAUCCACAAAUUUAUGGUCAUAAUUACCAUAAAUUGUACGAAGGAUCAAACAAAUUCAAAUUAUGUCAGGGAAUUUUGCAGGAAAAAAAAGUUUGGAAUUGAAACAUUUAGAAAAUGCUGUCAGUGCAGAGAUGCUCACGGUAAACUCAGUUUGCAGACUUGAAUCAAAUUAUGGUCUCCUUGAUCAAAUAAGCUAAAAAGAGGAAUCUAAAUUAAAAUGUCAACCGAUACGUUUUCUCCUGCAGAAUGUGCUGUGACUCAGCAUCAGCCAGUGCGACACGAGGCUGCAGAUCAGUGCUGGACGGUUUAUUGAAAUAAUAAUUUGUAUUUUUUAUUUAUUCCUCUCAUCGGUAAAUCAUGCUGCACCGCACUAUUAAUAAACCACCAUCAUCACUCUUCUGUUGACUGAUAUCUGUUGCUGUCUGUCUGUCCUCCCUCGUCCUCCUGUCUGUAAAUCUGUCUUAUAGCUGAUGUUUAUGAAGAUGCGGUUCUAUUUACGAAAUAAAUACAUUUUUAAGAAACA
Sebastes umbrosus (honeycomb rockfish) is the source of this 8717-nucleotide RNA transcript. It is a transcript of the gene named ATPase phospholipid transporting 11B (putative), with no coding region annotated. The transcript has 32 exons. The record is from RefSeq and is a predicted model, not a curated record. NCBI's taxonomy places the organism in Eukaryota, Metazoa, Chordata, Actinopteri, Perciformes, Sebastidae.